This 801-nucleotide ribosomal RNA is filed under the name Brinjal little leaf phytoplasma. RNAcentral describes it as "bacterial SSU rRNA". It matches the Rfam family "Bacterial small subunit ribosomal RNA", at positions 146 to 943 of the family's 1533-position model. The record is from RNAcentral. Lineage: Bacteria; Bacillati; Mycoplasmatota; Mollicutes; Acholeplasmatales; Acholeplasmataceae.
ACAGUUGGAAACGACUGCUAAGACUGGAUAGGAGACAAGAAGGCAUCUUCUUGUUUUUAAAAGACCUAGCAAUAGGUAUGCUUAGGGAGGAGCUUGCGUCACAUUAGUUAGUUGGUGGGGCAAAGGCCUACCAAGACUAUGAUGUGUAGCCGGGCUGAGAGGUUGAACGGCCACAUUGGGACUGAGACACGGCCCAAACUCCUACGGGAGGCAGCAGUAGGAAAUUUUCGGCAAUGGAGGAAACUCUGACCGAGCAACGCCGCGUGAACGAUGAAGUAUUUCGGUACGUAAAGUUCUUUUAUUAGGGAAGAAUAAAUGAUGGAAAAAUCAUUCUGACGGUACCUAAUGAAUAAGCCCCGGCAAACUAUGUGCCAGCAGCCGCGGUAAUACAUAGGGGGCAAGCGUUAUCCGGAAUUAUUGGGCGUAAAGGGUGCGUAGGCGGUUAAAUAAGUUUAUGGUCUAAGUGCAAUGCUCAACAUUGUGAUGCUAUAAAAACUGUUUAGCUAGAGUAAGAUAGAGGCAAGUGGAAUUCCAUGUGUAGUGGUAAAAUGCGUAAAUAUAUGGAGGAACACCAGUAGCGAAAGCGGCUUGCUGGGUCUUUACUGACGCUGAGGCACGAAAGCGUGGGGAGCAAACAGGAUUAGAUACCCUGGUAGUCCACGCCGUAAACGAUGAGUACUAAGUGUCGGGGUAAAACUCGGUACUGAAGUUAACACAUUAAGUACUCCGCCUGAGUAGUACGUACGCAAGUAUGAAACUUAAAGGAAUUGACGGGACUCCGCACAAGCGGUGGAUCAUGUU